Molecule: ribosomal RNA, 460 nt
Filed under: uncultured bacterium
Lineage: Bacteria
Description: partial 16S ribosomal RNA
Rfam family: Bacterial small subunit ribosomal RNA
Source: RNAcentral
GCUACGGGCGGCAGCAGUGAGGAAUAUUGGUCAAUGGGCUUACGCCUGAACCAGCCAAGUCGCGUGAGGGAAGACUGCCCUAUGGGUUGUAAACCUCUUUUGUCAGGGAGCAACGCCGGCUACGUGUAGCCGGACUGAGAGUACCUGAAGAAAAAGCAUCGGCUAACUCCGUGCCAGCAGCCGCGGUAAUACGGAGGAUGCGAGCGUUAUCCGGAUGUAUUGGGUUUAAAGGGUGCGUAGGCGGAAUGCCAAGUCAGCGGUAAAAUCGCGGGGCUCAACCUCGCUCCGCCGUUGAAACUGGCGUUCUUUAGUGGGCGAGAAGUAUGCGGAAUGCGGGGUGGAGCGGUGAAAUGCAUAGAUAUCACGCAGAACUCCGAUUGCGAAGGCAGCAUACCGGCGCCCAACUGACGCUGAAGCACGAAAGCGUGGGUAUCGAACAGGAGUAGAUACCCCAGUAGUC